Molecule: small RNA, 76 nt
Filed under: Klebsiella aerogenes
Lineage: Bacteria; Pseudomonadati; Pseudomonadota; Gammaproteobacteria; Enterobacterales; Enterobacteriaceae
Description: partial RtT sRNA
Rfam family: RtT RNA
About the family: This family represents a bacterial cis-regulatory element known as RtT RNA. The exact function of RtT is unknown although it is thought that it may be involved in changing the cellular response in relation to amino acid starvation.
Source: RNAcentral
UAUUCUGCCCUACGGGGAAGGAUGAGAAGCUUCGACUAAGGUUCGACUCGAGCGUCAGUGAGAGAACGUUGCCGCA